GAUGAACGCUGGCGGCGUGCCUAAUACAUGCAAGUCGAGCGAACGGACGAGAAGCUUGCUUCUCUGAUGUUAGCGGCGGACGGGUGAGUAACACGUGGAUAACCUACCUAUAAGACUUGGAUAACUUCGGGAAACCGUAGCUAAUACCGGCUAAUAUUUUGAACCGCAUGGUUCAAAAGUGAAAGACGGUCUUGCUGUCACUUAUAGAUGGAUCCGCGCUGCAUUAGCUAGUUGGUAAGGUAACGGCUUACCAAGGCAACGAUGCAUAGCCGACCUGAGAGGGUGAUCGGCCACACUGGAACUGAGACACGGUCCAGACUCCUACGGGAGGCAGCAGUAGGGAAUCUUCCGCAAUGGGCGAAAGCCUGACGGAGCAACGCCGCGUGAGUGAUGAAGGUCUUCGGAUCGUAAAACUCUGUUAUUAGGGAAGAACAUAUGUGUAAGUAACUGUGCACAUCUUGACGGUACCUAAUCAGAAAGCCACGGCUAACUACGUG
Molecule: ribosomal RNA, 497 nt
Filed under: uncultured bacterium
Lineage: Bacteria
Description: partial 16S ribosomal RNA
Rfam family: Bacterial small subunit ribosomal RNA
Source: RNAcentral